UAUUCUGCCCCACGGGGAAGGAUGAGAAGCUUCGACCAAGGUUCGACUCGAGCGAAACGAGAGAACGUUGCCGCAGGCAACGGCCCGAAGGGCGAGGCGCUUUAGCGCCGAGUAAUCCUUCCCCCACCACUG
RNAcentral lists this small RNA (132 nucleotides) under Klebsiella pneumoniae. Its description in RNAcentral is "RtT sRNA". It matches the Rfam family "RtT RNA". From Rfam's summary of the family: This family represents a bacterial cis-regulatory element known as RtT RNA. The exact function of RtT is unknown although it is thought that it may be involved in changing the cellular response in relation to amino acid starvation. The record is from RNAcentral. Lineage: Bacteria; Pseudomonadati; Pseudomonadota; Gammaproteobacteria; Enterobacterales; Enterobacteriaceae.